UUGAACGCUGGCGGCAUGCCUUACACAUGCAAGUCGAACGGUAACAGGUCUUCGGAUGCUGACGAGUGGCGAACGGGUGAGUAAUACAUCGGAACGUGCCCAGACGUGGGGGAUAACGUGGCGAAAGCUUUGCUAAUACCGCAUACGAUCUAAGGAUGAAAGCAGGGGACCGCAAGGCCUUGUGCGUUUGGAGCGGCCGAUGGCAGAUUAGGUAGUUGGUGGGAUAAAAGCUUACCAAGCCGACGAUCUGUAGCUGGUCUGAGAGGACGACCAGCCACACUGGGACUGAGACACGGCCCAGACUCCUACGGGAGGCAGCAGUGGGGAAUUUUGGACAAUGGGCGAAAGCCUGAUCCAGCAAUGCCGCGUGCAGGAUGAAGGCCUUCGGGUUGUAAACUGCUUUUGUACGGAACGAAAAGGCUCUGGCUAAUACCUGGGGCACAUGACGGUACCGUAAGAAUAAGCACCGGCUAACUACGUG
Molecule: ribosomal RNA, 481 nt
Filed under: uncultured bacterium
Lineage: Bacteria
Description: partial 16S ribosomal RNA
Rfam family: Bacterial small subunit ribosomal RNA
Source: RNAcentral